This is a long non-coding RNA of Cyprinus carpio (common carp), 1367 nucleotides long. NCBI's taxonomy places the organism in Eukaryota, Metazoa, Chordata, Actinopteri, Cypriniformes, Cyprinidae. The record is from Ensembl.
GUUUUUAGAAAUACAUUUAAGAAAAAAUACGUUUAAAAUUGGUCAUUUUAGUCAGGCAAUACGCUUCGUGUCACAGUUCAUUGUUUUGAGUUUUUUUGUGCGCGCUUGUUGUGAAUUGCUUCUAACGUUACUUGUGCUGUGUAUAGGCUACAAAAUUAAAACAUUUAUUGAUUUUAAUUAUUUAUACAGACAGUAUCACAGAUAUUCUGGCGUUUAUUAGGUAUCAUGUGGCACUGAAGCCUUUUAAAAAACAUAAAAAAGAUUGUAGCUGCAUGUAAUUUACCAACAAAAAGUCCACAUUAGUGUAUUUAGUGAAUCAUGGAGCACAAUGGACUGCAGUCCAGUAACGCUUGUCAGACACAUCUGAAAUGGGUUAAUGGAUUCACUGAGACGUCGCCCAUCUGUUUACCCAGCAAACGUAAACGAAAUGAUGUGAAUACGGUAAAUGGCCACGAAGAGGAUGGUCCUAAGGGUUUUCCCUCCAAAGAGAGCUUGAGGAAACGUGGUUUUGUCUUGAUUGACGGCCAGAGAGGUGUGUUCUACUCUGAAAGCUGGGAGCCCAAUGGCAGCACUUUAUACCUGCCUGUAAAUGGCACUUUGUUAGCCAACAUUGAAAAAUAUGAUCAGAUCAGCUUUGAGCAGGGCUGCUUCUGCAUUGGCAAUGCAGCAGGUGGAUUUCAACAGAAAGUCCAAGGUCAAGCGAUCCAUUGCUGGCGAUAUAGUGAACGUGAGCGAAAGCUUUUCAUUGCACUUUCUUACUUGUUCACAAACUUACAAGUGUUCCAGGAAGUCGUUAGCACUCUUGAUUGUCUCUGAGGAUUCUGAGUACACACAGUGCCAUCCAAACUAAAAAGCAUAGACCAAUCGUGUUUUUUUUAGUGUAGCCUAGACAUUCCUCUUCUUUGUUACAAUGUCUUUUUUAAACAUCAUUUUACAUAUUGUGAUAAUCAGUUGAAAUAUACAGUAUGUGCCUUUUUGACACAUUAGUGCAUUUCUGUUCUCUGCUGUUACUGCACUUUCACAGUUAGUCAACGAUCAAAGAUAUCAGCCAUGUUUGAUAUCUAAAAAGUGUAUUUAGAUAAGCAAUGACAUUAUGUUCCAUAAAUGUGCAUGACAAACAAUAUUGUAAGCGAUCUUGAAGCCUCUGUUAUUGCUGUGAACCAAAACAUGACAUGAAAACACUGUAUUUUAGAUGCCUUUCAAGCUUGUUGCUGAUUUUGUGCACAUAAUUUGUACUCUAAAAAUGUUUGUACUGCUAUAUUGCUGUUGUAUGUGUUUAAGCUUUGCUUUUUAGUGACUUUUUAUAUAUUUUUUUUACUAUAAAAUGGAAGAAUAAAUCCAUUCAAUCUGUUGCUGUUUCUUUAAAA